UACAGAGGGUGCAAGCGUUAAUCGGAGUUACUGGGCGUAAAGGGUGCGUAGGUGGUUAUAUAAGUCAGUUGUGAAAGGCCUGGGCUUAACCUGGGAAUUGCAAUUGAAACUGUGUGACUAGAGUUGAGUAGAGGGGAGCGGAAUUUCCGGUGUAGCGGUGAAAUGCGUAGAUAUCGGAAGGAACAUCAGUGGCGAAGGCGGCUCUCUGGACUCAAACUGACGCUGAAGCACGAAAGCGUGGGUAGCGAACAGG
This 253-nucleotide ribosomal RNA is filed under the name uncultured bacterium. RNAcentral's name for it is "partial 16S ribosomal RNA". It matches the Rfam family "Bacterial small subunit ribosomal RNA", at positions 524 to 776 of the family's 1533-position model. The record is from RNAcentral.